AGAACGAACGCUGGCGGCAUGCCUAACACAUGCAAGUCGAACGAGACCUUCGGGUCUAGUGGCGCACGGGUGCGUAACGCGUGGGAAUCUGCCCUUAGGUUCGGAAUAACAGUUAGAAAUGACUGCUAAUACCGGAUAAUGUCUUCGGACCAAAGAUUUAUUGCCUAAGGAUGAGCCCGCGUAAGAUUAGCUUGUUGGUGAGGUAAGGCUCACCAAGGCGACGAUCUUAGCUGGUCUGGAGGGGAUGAUCAGCCACACGUGGGACUGAGACACGGCCAGCUCCUACGGGAGGCAGCAGGUGGGGAAUAUUGGACAAGUGGGACGAAAGCCU
This 331-nucleotide ribosomal RNA is filed under the name uncultured soil bacterium. RNAcentral describes it as "bacterial SSU rRNA". It matches the Rfam family "Bacterial small subunit ribosomal RNA", at positions 26 to 384 of the family's 1533-position model. The record is from RNAcentral.